RNAcentral lists this ribosomal RNA (795 nucleotides) under uncultured Pelagibacteraceae bacterium. Its description in RNAcentral is "bacterial SSU rRNA". It matches the Rfam family "Bacterial small subunit ribosomal RNA", at positions 44 to 887 of the family's 1533-position model. The record is from RNAcentral. Lineage: Bacteria; Pseudomonadati; Pseudomonadota; Alphaproteobacteria; Candidatus Pelagibacterales; Candidatus Pelagibacteraceae.
ACGCCUUAUACAUGCAAGUCGAACGAAGUAGCAAUACUUAGUGGCAGACGGGUGAGUAACAUGUAGGUAUCUGCCCUUUGGCCUGGAAUAACACGAGGAAACUUGUGCUAAUACCGGAUAAGUCUUUACGGAGAAAGCUUUAUGCACCAUUGGAUGAGCCUGCACUUGAUUAGUUUGUUGGUGGGGUAAUGGCCUACCAAGACAAUGAUCAAUAGCUGAUUUGAGAGGAUGAUCAGCCACAUUGGAACUGAGACACGGUCCAAACUCCUACGGGAGGCAGCAGUAGGGAAUCUUGCACAAUGGAGGAAACUCUGAUGCAGCGAUGCCGCGUGAGUGAAGAAGGCCUUUGGGUUGUAAAGCUCUUUCGUCGGGGAAGAAAAUGACUGUACCCGAAUAAGAAGGUCCGGCUAACUUCGUGCCAGCAGCCGCGGUAAUACGAAGGGACCUAGCGUAGUUCGGAAUUACUGGGCUUAAAGAGUUCGUAGGUGGUUAAAAAAGUUGGUGGUGAAAUCCCAGAGCUUAACUCUGGAACUGCCAUCAAAACUUUUUAGCUAGAGUAUGAUAGAGGAAAGCAGAAUUUCUAGUGUAGAGGUGAAAUUCGUAGAUAUUAGAAAGAAUACCGAUUGCGAAGGCAGCUUUCUGGAUCAUUACUGACACUGAGGAACGAAAGCAUGGGUAGCGAAGAGGAUUAGAUACCCUCGUAGUCCAUGCCGUAAACGAUGUGUGUUAGACGUUGGAAAUUUAUUUUCAGUGUCGCAGCGAAAGCAAUAAACACACCGCCUGGGGAGUACGACC